This 253-nucleotide ribosomal RNA is filed under the name uncultured bacterium. RNAcentral's name for it is "partial 16S ribosomal RNA". It matches the Rfam family "Bacterial small subunit ribosomal RNA", at positions 524 to 776 of the family's 1533-position model. The record is from RNAcentral.
UACGUAGGGGGCAAGCGUUGUCCGGAUUUAUUGGGCGUAAAGAGCGUGUAGGCGGCUGGGUAGGUCCGCUGUGAAAACUCGAGGCUUAACCUCGAGACGUCGGUGGAAACCAUCCAGCUAGAGUCCGGAAGAGGAGAGUGGAAUUCCUGGUGUAGCGGUGAAAUGCGCAGAUAUCAGGAAGAACACCCGUGGCGAAAGCGGCUCUCUGGGACGGUACUGACGCUGAGGCACGAAGGCCAGGGGAGCAAACGGG